Perognathus longimembris pacificus (Pacific pocket mouse) is the source of this 160-nucleotide small nucleolar RNA. RefSeq annotates it as small nucleolar RNA SNORA67. The record is from RefSeq and is a predicted model, not a curated record. NCBI's taxonomy places the organism in Eukaryota, Metazoa, Chordata, Mammalia, Rodentia, Heteromyidae. The transcript has a single exon.
UUCAAAAGUGAAAUGCUUUUUAAAACAAGUUCUAUUUUAGAAGAGUUUCAGAUGUACAGAAUUAUUAGAAUGACAACUUGGAAGAAAAUCUGGCAUGCCUAAACUUCUGGGGGAACAGAGGAUGCAUAUGUCCUUUACCUUCCUUAGACUCCCUACAUGU